RNAcentral lists this ribosomal RNA (497 nucleotides) under uncultured bacterium. Its description in RNAcentral is "partial 16S ribosomal RNA". It matches the Rfam family "Bacterial small subunit ribosomal RNA", at positions 28 to 507 of the family's 1533-position model. The record is from RNAcentral.
GAUGAACGCUGGCGGCGUGCCUAAUACAUGCAAGUCGAGCGAACGGACGAGAAGCUUGUUUUUCUGAUGUUAGCGGCGGACGGGUGAGUAGCCCGUGGAUAACCUACAUAUAAGACUGGGAUAACUUCGGGAAAUAGGAGCUAAUAACGGACAAUCUUUUGAAACGCAUGGUUCAACAGUGAAAGACGGUCUUGAUGUCACUUAUAGAUGGAUCCGCGCUGCAUUAGCUAGUUGGUAAGGCAACGGCUUACCAAGGCAACGAUGCAUAGCCGACCUGAGAGGGUGAUCGGCCACACUGGAACUGAGACACGAUCCAGACUCCUACGGGAGGCAGCAGUAGGGAAUCUUCCGCGAUGGGCGAAAGCCUGACGGAGCGACGCUGCGUGAGUUAUGAAGGUCGUCAGAUCGUAAAACUCUGUUAUUAGGGAAGAACAUAUGUGUAAGUAACUGUGCACAUCUUGACGGUACCUAAUCAGAAAGCCACGGCUAACUACGUG